RNAcentral lists this ribosomal RNA (253 nucleotides) under uncultured bacterium. RNAcentral's name for it is "partial 16S ribosomal RNA". It matches the Rfam family "Bacterial small subunit ribosomal RNA", at positions 524 to 776 of the family's 1533-position model. The record is from RNAcentral.
GACGAAGGGGGCUAGCGUUGUUCGGAAUUACUGGGCGUAAAGCGCGCGUAGGCGGCCACUUAAGUCGGAUGUGAAAGCCCCUGGCUCAACUGGGGAAGUGCACCCGAAACUGAAUGGCUUGAGUGCGAAAGAGGGUCGCGGAAUUCCCGGUGUAGAGGUGAAAUUCGUAGAUAUCGGGAGGAACACCGGUGGCGAAGGCGGCGACCUGGGUCGACACUGACGCUGAGGCGCGAAAGCGUGGGGAGCAAACAGG